This 591-nucleotide ribosomal RNA is filed under the name uncultured bacterium. RNAcentral describes it as "bacterial SSU rRNA". It matches the Rfam family "Bacterial small subunit ribosomal RNA", at positions 863 to 1454 of the family's 1533-position model. The record is from RNAcentral.
AGUAGACCGCCUGGGGAGUACGGCCGCAAGGUUAAAACUCAAAUGAAUUGACGGGGGCCCGCACAAGCGGUGGAGCAUGUGGUUUAAUUCGACGCAACGCGAAGAACCUUACCUGGCCUUGACAUGCAGAGAACUUUCCAGAGAUGGAUUGGUGCCUUCGGGAACUAUGACACAGGUGCUGCAUGGCCGUCGUCAGCUCGUGUCGUGAGAUGUUGGGUUAAGUCCCGUAACGAGCGCAACCCCUAUCCCUAGUUGCUAGCAGUUCGGCUGAGAACUCUAGGGAGACUGCCGGUGACAAACCGGAGGAAGGUGGGGAUGACGUCAGGUCAUCAUGGCCCUUACGGCCAGGGCUACACACGUGCUACAAUGGUGCGUACAGAGGGCUGCAAACCCGCGAGGGGGAGCUAAUCUCACAAAACGCAUCGUAGUCCGGAUCGGAGUCUGCAACUCGACUCCGUGAAGUCGGAAUCGCUAGUAAUCGCGAAUCAGAAUGUCGCGGUGAAUACGUUCCCGGGCCUUGUACACACCGCCCGUCACACCAUGGGAGCGGAUUGCACCAGAAGUGGUUAGUCUAACCUUCGGGAGGACGAU